AUGAAAUAUUACGAGAUUAGUGAGCUCCAAGAGUGUGGCAUGUUUCCAUGUGUAACCAUGGGUUCCAACCCCAGAUCUGUUUCCUCGUUGUUCCGCCCGGAGGGCGAGCUUCCGAUCGUCUCGGGUCUCAGGCUGUCGGAGGGCUCGGCGGACUCGGAGGCUCGUGAUUUGCCGGCGGUCGACUCGGCGAUGCGGUCGGUGCCGGCGGCGGCGAAGGGCUGGGUGCAGCGCAUCCGCAACGGCUUGGAGGCCCAAGAUGGCGAUUCUGGUGCUUGGGCUGGGCGCUCCUCGCCUCCGCCACGUCCGGAGGUGAUCCCGGAGAUGAAAGACAAGUGCUUUCACUGCCUUGAGAAAGGCCACUACAAACGCGACUGCACCAACCUGGAGGUGUGCAUCCGCUGUGGGCUGCCAGGCCAUGGUUCCUGUGACUGCAAGCAUCCUCGGAGUCCGUCAUCACCGGAUGAGCUGCGGCGGGAGGCCAUUGCAAUCCUCACCGCGCUCCAGCCCCGAUCGCGUCCCCCAGCGGGCGCAGCUCCCUCCGCUGCCCCGCCCCUGCCCCUGCCUUGA
This 567-nucleotide ribosomal RNA is filed under the name Triticum aestivum (bread wheat). RNAcentral describes it as "partial small subunit ribosomal RNA". Lineage: Eukaryota; Viridiplantae; Streptophyta; Magnoliopsida; Poales; Poaceae. The record is from RNAcentral.